This 253-nucleotide ribosomal RNA is filed under the name uncultured bacterium. Its description in RNAcentral is "partial 16S ribosomal RNA". It matches the Rfam family "Bacterial small subunit ribosomal RNA", at positions 524 to 776 of the family's 1533-position model. The record is from RNAcentral.
UACGAAGGGGGCGAGCGUUGUUCGGAGUUACUGGGCGUAAAGGGCGCGUAGGCGGCGAUCCAAGUUAGGCGUGAAAGCCCCGGGCUUAACCUGGGAAUUGCGCUUAAGACUGGACUGCUUGAGUGCGGGAGAGGUGAGUGGAAUUCCCAGUGUAGAGGUGAAAUUCGUAGAGAUCGGGAGGAACAUCCGUGGCGAAGGCGACUACCUGGACCAGCACUGACACUGAGGCACGAAAGCGUGGGGAGCAAACAGG